Molecule: unclassified non-coding RNA, 331 nt
Filed under: soil metagenome
Description: partial contains 5.8S ribosomal RNA, internal transcribed spacer 2, and large subunit ribosomal RNA
Rfam family: 5.8S ribosomal RNA (bases 1-120)
Source: RNAcentral
GAUGAAGAACGUAGCGAAAUGCGAUAAGUAAUGUGAAUUGCAGAAUUCCGUGAAUCAUCGAAUCUUUGAACGCAUAUUGCGCCCCCUGGUAUUCCGGGGGGCAUGCCUGUUCGAGCGUCAUUUCACCACUCAAGCCUCGCUUGGUAUUGGGCAACGCGGUCCGCCGCGUGCCUCAAAUCGACCGGCUGGGUCUUCUGUCCCCUAAGCGUUGUGGAAACUAUUCGCUAAAGGGUGUUCGGGAGGCUACGCCGUAAAACAACCCCAUUUCUAAGGUUGACCUCGGAUCAGGUAGGGAUACCCGCUGAACUUAAGCAUAUCAAUAAGCGGAGGA